AUCUAUUCAAAUCAAUCAAAGGGAGAUCUUCACUUACUCCAGAGCAGUCAUCACAUGCUCAGUCUCAGUCAUCACAUGCUCAGUCUCAGGCUCAAGCUUCAUCUUCAUCUUCUGAUCGAGUUUCUUCACGUCAUACACAUCCCAUCGUUCCAUCUUCAUCAACUAAUAGAGUCUCGUCACAUAAUGUCGUUCCAUCUUCAUCAACUAAUAGAGUCUCGUCACAGAAUGUCAUUCCAUCUUCAUCAUCUGAUAGAGUCUCGUCACAGAAUGUUAUUGUUUUUUCAUCAUCUGAUGGAGUCUCUUCACAACCAACUGGACGUAGACGAGUUAUAGAUGACACAGAGUCGGAGCCUUGUGGUUGGGUUGUUGGUGUUAUAAAUGAAAAUCAAGUGAUAAAAUUUAUUAAGUUGAAGGUUCAGGAUGUCCAUAACUUGGAGAAUGAAUUGCGCAUAAUUGUAGAAUGUGAUGAGUUUGCUCAACCUAUUGGAAAAUCAGCUGGCAUUCUUGCAGGAUUUUUUGGGGAGCUUGCUACAAAUCCUUGCUACUUUCCAAUUGGCUUUGAGAGUUGGACAUUAAUGCCUAAACCUUUUAUGCAUUGAGUUGUUGAUGAUUUCGUAUGGUCUUGAUUUUUCUUUAGGAGUGAUCAACAAAAGGUAAAAGGUUGGCUUAACAAUUCGCUUAACAAAAAGUGGAAGGAAUUCAGGCUUAAACUAUGGCAUGAAGUCGAGGAUCCAUUGUUGAGCAAAAAAAGAUAUCAUAUAAGAAUGCUCUAGAAGGCAUUCCCAUGGACCAAUGGGCAUUGUAUGUUAACUAUCAAUUCAAAGAGGAA
Non-coding RNA from Nicotiana tabacum (common tobacco), 829 nucleotides. The record is from RefSeq and is a predicted model, not a curated record. Lineage: Eukaryota; Viridiplantae; Streptophyta; Magnoliopsida; Solanales; Solanaceae.